UACGUAGGGUGCGAGCGUUGUCCGGAAUUAUUGGGCGUAAAGGGCUCGUAGGCGGUUUGUCACGUCGGGAGUGAAAACUCGGGGCUUAACCCCGAGCCUGCUUUCGAUACGGGCAGACUGGAGGUAUGCAGGGGAGAACGGAAUUCCUGGUGUAGCGGUGAAAUGCGCAGAUAUCAGGAGGAACACCGGUGGCGAAGGCGGUUCUCUGGGCAUGUCCUGACGCUGAGGAGCGAAAGUGUGGGGAGCGAAGCAGG
RNAcentral lists this ribosomal RNA (254 nucleotides) under uncultured bacterium. RNAcentral's name for it is "partial 16S ribosomal RNA". It matches the Rfam family "Bacterial small subunit ribosomal RNA", at positions 524 to 777 of the family's 1533-position model. The record is from RNAcentral.